UUUUUUUAGUUUAAAUUAAAACGUGUAAUUUGUAAUUAUAAAAUUAAAAAAACUAU
RNAcentral lists this transfer RNA (56 nucleotides) under Haemonchus contortus (barber pole worm). RNAcentral's name for it is "tRNA-Thr". Lineage: Eukaryota; Metazoa; Nematoda; Chromadorea; Rhabditida; Trichostrongylidae. The record is from RNAcentral.